Molecule: ribosomal RNA, 497 nt
Filed under: uncultured bacterium
Lineage: Bacteria
Description: partial 16S ribosomal RNA
Rfam family: Bacterial small subunit ribosomal RNA
Source: RNAcentral
GAUGAACGCUGGCGGCGUGCCUAAUACAUGCAAGUCGAGCGAACAGACGAGGAGCUUGCUCCUCUGACGUUAGCGGCGGACGGGUGAGUAACACGUGGAUAACCUACCUAUAAGACUGGGAUAACUUCGGGAAACCGGAUCUAAUACCGGAUAAUAUAUUGAACCGCAUGGUUCAAUAGUUAAAUACGGUUUUGCUGACACUUAUAGAUUGAUCCGCGCCGCAUUAGCUAGUUGGUAAAGUAAUGGCUUACCAAGGCAACGAUGCGUAGCCGACCUGAGAGGGUGAUCGCCCACCCUGGAACUGAGACACGGUCCCGACUCCUACGGGAGGCAGCAGUAGGGAAUCUUCCGCAAUGGGCGAAAGCCUGACGGAGCACCGCCGCGUGAGUGAUGAAGGUCUUCGGAUCGUAAAACUCUGUUAUUAGUGAAGAACAAAUGUGUAAGUAACUAUGCACGUCUUGACGGUACCUAAUCAGAAAGCCCCGGCUAGCUACGUG